RNAcentral lists this unclassified non-coding RNA (200 nucleotides) under Ramaria sp. Its description in RNAcentral is "partial internal transcribed spacer 2". Lineage: Eukaryota; Fungi; Basidiomycota; Agaricomycetes; Gomphales; Gomphaceae. The record is from RNAcentral.
UUAAGUUCAGCGGGUAGUCCUACCUGAUUUGAGGUCAGACGACAUGAAAUUGUCCGAAGACGAUUAGAAGCAUCCUUACACGCGAGACGCGGAACGGCGCCAGAAGUAGACUUAUCACACCGUUGUGACCGAUCUCCGCGACGGACGCUAAUGCAUUUCAAGACGAGCAGACCUUGUAAAAGGACUGCAACAUCCAAAUC